GGGGGGUUGAAACUCUCCAAUAUACUACUAGUCAUUAAAACGACUUUUUAGAAAAAUGUGACCGUACGAAAUUCUGACGACAGGGCAAAAACUAAAGAAGACAUAUUUGUCUUUAAGUUAAGACCAUUUUUUAGCCGUGUGUUAUUUGGGGAGAUUAAACUCGCGAUCUAGACGACUUUUUACACUUCUGUCACCGCAUUAUAUGUAUU
Molecule: long non-coding RNA, 209 nt
Filed under: Mytilus galloprovincialis (Mediterranean mussel)
Lineage: Eukaryota; Metazoa; Mollusca; Bivalvia; Mytilida; Mytilidae
Source: RNAcentral